Long non-coding RNA from Triticum aestivum (bread wheat), 2568 nucleotides. RefSeq lists it as uncharacterized. The transcript is spliced from 6 exons. The record is from RefSeq and is a predicted model, not a curated record. NCBI's taxonomy places the organism in Eukaryota, Viridiplantae, Streptophyta, Magnoliopsida, Poales, Poaceae.
UGCCCGCUGCCCCCAGCCCGCCCGCCGCCGCCGCCGAGAUCUAAAAUUUCCCCCGCGCCGCGAGCAGCGCGCUUCCACCGCCGCCUAAUCCUCAGCCUCGCUGCCUCCUCCACCACCGCGCUCCAAUCGGAUCCAGUUCUUUGCCGGCCAUUACCUGCGCCUCCCCGACUGCCUUUUGCCGCCCCCACCUCCGCCUCCGAGACCUAGAUCCCACCGCCGCACACAUCCCCGCCCAGCUCGCUGGUCGCCUGUACCUCCGCCCCCACUUGACCUAUCCUUCCCGCUCAGCUCGACCGCCUGUUCCUCGUGGAUACUUCCCCCCUCUCCCGCGUCGUUAACCUCCCCGUCGGCAGUCGCGAAGAAAACCCACGCCCGUUACACGAGUCCCCAAUCUUCCUCUACGUCAUCGGCCUCAAGAGUACGAUGUCCAUGCAACCCCGCGAGCCACAACACACCUUGACUGAACUUCUCCAGCUCCUUCGGAAGGUUCUCUGCACUAGUCACAUAUAAAGGCAAGCAGGAGCCUGCAUGGUCGUGAAAGCAUGAGAUGGCUAAGGAUCCCGCUACAUAUUGGGAGAGGUGGUUAGACAACCUUGUACAACAAGUGGAGGAGGAAUUCUGGAAUUACUAUAGAUGGCAAGAAGGCACUGAGGUUGCUGCAAGAAGGGCUGUUCACAACUCAAUCAAAAAAAUAUAGAUGAUAUGAUAUAUGAGGCACGGGUUUAGGCUGUAGUGGACUAUUAAUUUUUUUGUUUUAAAAACAGAGAUAUGUCGGCCGAACGCUUGUAGGACUUAUCUUACUGUGGAUCAGUAUAUGGAGGUAAGCUCCUUCUGUCCUUCAUCAUUUGCCAUGCUUUUGGUGUGCUUUAGACAGAUGGUAGCACUCUUGAAAGGCUUUUUCAGUUUCCUCUAAUCAAGUGGCAGCACGUUGAUGCUUCAUUUUAAGUGGGUCAUGCUAGCUGAACAAAAAACUUAAAUUUUGUGUUCCUUAUACCUAAUUGAGCCUCGACAGUUCUUGUAAUGGUUGCCUGUGAGUGUUUGUUUGAUAAUCUCUGUAUAGGAUUUGAAAUUGAUGUAAGAUAUGUGCUGCUACAGUUUUCUGAAGUAACUAUGCAACUUCAGGGUGAGGUGCUUUUUUUGUUUAGAACUUGAUAUAUUUGUAAUAAACUUGCUGCUAUUGGUAUGUUUGAACUUAUUGCAACUUGAAAUCAUUUCAAUAAACUAGUAUUGACAUUAUCUCCUACUGCCGAUCAGGCCAUUAUUUCUGCUGCAUGCCCAAGUAUUUCCACAUCUUGUUCUGAUGAUAUAGGCUACUUAUUGUUGGUUCAUUGUAGGUCUCUUGAAGCUUUAUAUAAAUGUUUACAUUUGUUCUUACAUAACACUAAAUGGAGCAGAUGACCGAUGUUCACGCUCUGUUUUAGGGGCUUUUGUUGCUCUUCUUGAAAUUACUACCCCUUUUUAUUUGCAGGUUCUUGAUUGGAUUAUGUAUUUUGGGCACUUCGCUGGUGCCAUCUUCCUCGAGGUGAGAGUUGAUGUAUGUGGUGAUGUGCGUGUGAUAUUGUUGUAUGUGCCAGUUUCAUAUACCAUUACCACACUGCUGCAGGAGGGAAAGAAUAUCAGUGAAGGGUUUCUCUAUUAAUGACAUAUUGUCUUGAACAUCCUAGAAGGACGAUGCUCCUGAUGCCUGUAGAACCUUUUGAACCUAAUAAAUCAUGCUAUGUCUGCUCUGAGACCCCUCUUCUGCUGGAUGUCAACACUAAGGCCACGAAGCUUAGGGAGGUUAUCGACAAGAUUAUAAAAAGCAAACUUGGAAUGAUCCUCUCGUUGGUAAUGAUUGGAUCUACACUUGUUUUUGAGGAUGGUGAUGGCUUAGAGGAAGACGAGGCUGCAAACUAUGCUUCAAACCUUGAGAAUGUACUAUCCUCAUAGACUCAUAAUGUUUCCUGUUCAAGGCAAGGGCCAAUGGAACAAUGCACUCCAAUGCCAUUUCUGUCCUUUUUGGACUGUGCCCUUGCGUUUCCAUAUUGUCGAUCAACUAUUACAUGUCUUGACUGAACUGUCAGCUCCAGUAUUAAUGGCACAAAGCUUGCUGUUGAGGAUUUCCGGCAGGAGUUGUCAUGCAACAUUAACAUCAAGCACAGGGAGGAGUUUGAUGAGGAGAAAGAGCCUGACAAAAUGGUUUCAUCUGGAUGGUCUGCUCUUGUGGAGGGACAGAUUAACAGUAAUGGGGAGAACAAAUCGACAGCUUCAUCCUGUGCGCAUUCCACUGAUGACACUAUUGAGGAUCCAUCGACUAAACCUGGGAUGAAGCGCAAGCUGGGUGAAAUGUUGGAAAUAAAGGAAAACUAUCAUGCAUCCAGCAGUGCUUAGGUGUUUUGGUCUAGUUGAUGUGUGGUCUAUGCUAUAGCAGAUUGUAUAUCCUGAUUCAAGUGUUCUAGCAAUUUAGCAAAUUAAGCUAGCCUUUCUUUGAAUUCAUGGCCGGUAUGAAUACGAUGUAUGGUGAAGUUUUGCUGAUUUAUGAAUUAUUUGAGCUAUGGCUGAUAUUAAUCCAGAUUUGGCGUUUUGUUA